ACUAAAAUAGUUUAUAUAAAAUAUUAAUUUUGUAAAUUAAAGAUGUCUUUCUUUUAGUA
RNAcentral lists this transfer RNA (59 nucleotides) under Metacrangonyx goulmimensis. RNAcentral's name for it is "transfer RNA Threonine". Lineage: Eukaryota; Metazoa; Arthropoda; Malacostraca; Amphipoda; Metacrangonyctidae. The record is from RNAcentral.